UUAAUGAUGAACUGUGAUUGCUCCAAUGUUCCAUGUGGAAGUCAAACAUAGUCCUCUAAGAAGUUCUGAAAUG
This is a small nucleolar RNA of Mya arenaria, 73 nucleotides long. RefSeq annotates it as small nucleolar RNA SNORD61. Lineage: Eukaryota; Metazoa; Mollusca; Bivalvia; Myida; Myidae. The transcript has a single exon. The record is from RefSeq and is a predicted model, not a curated record.